Molecule: long non-coding RNA, 1460 nt
Filed under: Mus caroli (Ryukyu mouse)
Lineage: Eukaryota; Metazoa; Chordata; Mammalia; Rodentia; Muridae
Description: lncRNA (MGP_CAROLIEiJ_G0004427.1)
Source: RNAcentral
AGUUGGCACUUGGCACUUAUGAGGUGAAGGCAAAGCUGGUUCGUGAGGCUUAUUUUCAAUUCUUUGUGAACCACAAGCCCUCACACUGCAAGAUCGUCAUGACAACCUGUCAGGAUGGGAGCCAGGCGAAGUCAGAGCUUAAUUCUAAAACUCCCCCCAAAACUGAGGAAGAAAAACCUCUGCAGGAGAUGCAGGGCAGCACUCUCUGUCCUUGGGUAUCUGUGCUUCAAGAUCAUUGCCCGGCCGGCCGAGCCUCACCCUCACAGCGUGCUUCCUAGGUGAAGCCCAGCAAGGGCCGGACUCAGACCUAUUUCAGACUGAAGUAAAGUGGAUUCCAGAGUAGCUCUGAAAUAUAACAGGAAAUAUAGAAAUAUAUAUUGGGAUUUUUUUUCUGGAAAACAAUCAGGCCCUGUCCUAAUGGGAUGCACAGAAGAUAUCCAGGAUGCAUUACAUGAAGCUAAUGAAUUCCAAGUCAGAAAAGAGCCAUAUGGAGAUGGUGAGAUUAGGAACCAGACUCAGCAUCUACCAUGCUUGGUGGGGCUCAGCACUCAAGCCUGUUUGAUGGGCACUGUGGACUGUGUCUCCUCACCUCCAAAAUUCUUAUACUAUGAGGCCCCCAUCCCCAGGGUGGCUGUAUUUGAAAUGGGGCCUCCUCUAUGGAUAAUAUGGCUGGGUAUUAACUAGUCCUGUGAUAACUAAUAUUGAUUUUUUCAACUUGAUGGGAUUUAGAAUCACUAUGGAAAUAAGCCCCCUGAAGUCUGUAAGAGAUCAUCUACAUUAAGUUAAUUGAGAUGAGAAGUUGUAUCCUAAAUUUGGGUGGCACCACUCUAGGGGCUGGGGUCCUGAAUUGGAUUAAAAGGAGAAAGCAGGGGCUGGAGAGAUGGGUCAGUGGUUAAGAGCACUGACUGCUCUUCCCAAGGUCCUGAGUUCAAUUCCCAGCAACCACAUGGUGGCUCACAACCAUCUGUAAUGGGAUCAGAUCACCUCUUCUGGCCUGUCUGAAGACAGCUACAGUGUACUCAUAUGCAUAAAGUAAAUGAAUAAAAUCUUUUAAAAGUGGGGGGGGCAAGCUGAAUGCCAGUAUUCAUCCCUGUCGAGUUCCUGGUUAUGGUUAUCGCCAGCUGCCUGAUGCUCCUGCUUUCAAACCAUGAGCCAAAGUCGACCCUUCCUCUCUCAAGUUGCUUCUGUUACAGCAAGGACACAAGCACCUCAUACAGGUGCCUUGCAUCCUUUGGGAUCUAUAACGGACUUGAAAGGACAUGCUGGUGGUCAUCAAAUAAGAGCAAGCCUGCCUCUUCAUCUGUUGGCCUCCAAAGACGUUCUAACAGACCUGUCCCCUAAACCUUUCUCUACUGGGAGACAAGCAUACACUCUCAGAGUUCACAUUUGAUGAUGUAGCUAGUUUCUAGUUUGCUUGUUGUCAAUGCUUCUCAUGUAUCAUUAAAUCACUGAAGCACCCC